RNAcentral lists this ribosomal RNA (445 nucleotides) under uncultured bacterium. RNAcentral describes it as "bacterial SSU rRNA". It matches the Rfam family "Bacterial small subunit ribosomal RNA", at positions 339 to 797 of the family's 1533-position model. The record is from RNAcentral.
GUACGGGAGGCAGCAAUUAGGAAUCUUGCGCAAUGGGGGAAACCCUGACGCAGCGACGCCGCGUGAAGGAUGACGGCCUUCGGGUUGUAAACUUCUUUUAAGGGGGAAGAAACAAAUGACGGUACCCCUUGAAUAAGCCCCGGCUAACUACGUGCCAGCAGCCGCGGUAAUACGUAGGGGGCGAGCGUUGUCCGAAGUUACUGGGCGUAAAGCGCGCGUAGGCGGGCUAUUAAGUUGGAUGUGAAAUCUCCACGGCUUAACCGGGAAACCGCAUCCAAAACUGAUAGCCUUGAGGUAUGGAGAGGGAAGUGGAAUUCCUGGUGUAGCGGUGAAAUGCGUAGAUAUCAGGAGGAACACCCGUGGCGAAGGCGGCUUCCUGGCCAUAUCCUGACGCUGAGGUGCGAAAGCUAGGGGAGCGAACGGGAUUAGAUACCCGUGUAGUCCU